GGAGGGGAGGCUCACACCCUGCGGCGGCUUAAGCCUGGAUUUACGCACUGGAGGAGGGAAUUAGCCCUGAGAUUGAGGUUUUCGUCUAUCGCCGCUGGGCCGAUAGGGCUUCUUUUUAAGAUUUGGCUUUCCAAGUAAGAUUUUUGUUUGCCUGCUUUUCUCCUGGAAUUUUUUUGUUUUUGGUCGAAGAAGCAGCUCCCACUUUGCAGUUGUGUCAGCCAAUCACGACAGCUUCCCAGACUUCCGUGCAAGUGCCUGCUUUGAGGCCAAGGUGGCCAUAAAUGGCAGCUCCUCAGGCUCCUCCACAAUCUCUGGUUUCUUAUGUUUCUCCAUGAGCUCAGCUUUUUCAUCAACUCCAAUGCUUCAAGCCGAAGUCAUUAGUGAAUGUUCUACAAUCCUUCAGCUGCAGCUCCAGACCUUCACUCCUCCAGCUUCUCCUACAUCCAUCUAACCCUCAAUUCCUACAUUAAAUCUCUUUAUUCCAGAAUAC
RNAcentral lists this long non-coding RNA (490 nucleotides) under Homo sapiens (human). RNAcentral describes it as "HSALNT0074346". The record is from RNAcentral. Lineage: Eukaryota; Metazoa; Chordata; Mammalia; Primates; Hominidae.